RNAcentral lists this long non-coding RNA (354 nucleotides) under Carica papaya (papaya). Its description in RNAcentral is "long non-coding RNA (CPAP_LNC008824)". Lineage: Eukaryota; Viridiplantae; Streptophyta; Magnoliopsida; Brassicales; Caricaceae. The record is from RNAcentral.
UGGGUGUUGGGUCAGCUGGUCUGGUGGCUGUUGGUGCUAAUUUUGGUGGAAUUACGAGUUUUCUUCUCGGGUUGUCGCCGGAAAAUGGUCGGAAUCUUAAGCUCGAUGUGCUUUAUCCGAUCGGAGGGUAUAGCCGUUGCAUUGACACUAACGAAGGAUUUGGUCAGUAACUAAUACAUACAUAUAUAUAUAUAUAUUGGAUAUGUUUAUUUAUUUAAUGCUAGUCAGAAAAUUAUAUAAGAAUUAGCAUAUACCCAGAAUUCAUAUACCCAGCAAACUGGGUUGGAGAUCAAACACUGUUAUAUCGAGCGACAAAACAACAAGAAUUUCAGAGAUCACUUGAUCCUCCACCAC